UUUAACUGAAGUAGUAAUUUUUACUUAAAGGGAUUUAAGAAUUACGUAUAUGUUUGUUUUUAAUCAACAUUAAUUUUUAAAAUUUAUCUCGUUUUUCCUUUGUGGGGUGUAUGUGUGUGUGUAAGUGAGGAUCUAAAGGGCCUUAUGCCCAAAUAGAUCAGAACAACUGGAUCAAAACAAUUCGUUGAAACUUAACGUGGCUAAAUGUUGUCACUGAGCUAACGUCUGUGCCAGUCCUCCUCUAUUUUAUGUGGGACACCUCCACAGCAUGGCUUUGACAAGUGGUGCUAGGUCUGCGCCUACGAUCUGAACCUGCAAACCGUGGACGGUCAAAGCAGAGCACGUGAACUUAACCACUAUGCCACGGGGCCAUCCCCGAAAUGACUGUUUUUAAAAACAGCUGUUUUCAGUUCGCAUGAAAGCUAUUUAUUCAUCCAAUAGAUGACUCCAUGUCAGGUACCAGGAAUACGGUGGUGAGCAAGAUAAAGACUCCUUUUCUGGAAUUUACAUUCUACUUGAGGAGACAGAAGAGUUUGAAUGAAAAACGGAGAUUCUGAUUAGAAUUUGUAGUGUGUAUUAACACUUGGUUGGCUAAAUAAACAUCCAUUCCCAACCUUCUCCCUUACUUUCCACCACUGCUGAGACUAAAAGAGCUAGGUGCUUGCUUCCUCAGCUUGCUAGCAUCUAGGGGUAGCCAUAUGAUGUGGUUCUGGCCAGUGCAAUAUAGAUGGAAGUCUUCUGGGGGACUUCUGGAAAAUCAUUUGGUUUUCUGAUUUAAAAAAAAAAGGAGUAGGUGUAUUUAGCACCACCACCCUCUCUCUUCUUCAUUGAAUUAUCCAUUCAAGUUCAAGUCAUAGCAGCAGUCUUCUUGGAACUAUAAAGCAGCAAACCAGUAUUCCAAAGGGAGGCCAAGAGGUAGAAGGAGCCUGGGUUUCUAUGGUUGGGGAACUACUGUGCUGGCAUUGUAGCUCCUUUCUCCAGACUUCUUUUUUAUGUGAGAUAAUUGAAUGUUUUAGUUACUUAAGCCACUGUUAAUUGGAUGUUUUCUUACCCAUAAAGGCAUUCCUAGGAAAUUCAGUAUUAAAUUAAUCUGCAUUAAUUUUGGGAAGGAUGGAUAUUUUUUAUGGUUUUGAGAUUCUGUAUCCAGAAAAGUGUCAUACUGCUUUUCUGUCUUAUUUUAUGUCUGUUAAUAUUUUAUUUUUUCAAUUUAGAUCCUGUGUAUUUAUUUUGAGACAUAUUUAGAUUCC
This 1247-nucleotide long non-coding RNA is filed under the name Equus asinus (donkey). RNAcentral describes it as "lncRNA (ENSEASG00005033306.1)". Lineage: Eukaryota; Metazoa; Chordata; Mammalia; Perissodactyla; Equidae. The record is from RNAcentral.